RNAcentral lists this long non-coding RNA (271 nucleotides) under Carica papaya (papaya). RNAcentral's name for it is "long non-coding RNA (CPAP_LNC007622)". The record is from RNAcentral. Lineage: Eukaryota; Viridiplantae; Streptophyta; Magnoliopsida; Brassicales; Caricaceae.
UACUGAGGUGGCUAAAGAUCCUCCUGCUUCAGGGGUUACUCAAACUGUGGCAGCAGAGGAGGGUCAGAUAGCUCCCUCAUUUCCUCCUGAGCUUGCUGGGUAGUGAUGAGUCUCUCCAGCAUUUCAAAUAGUCGGUCAACAUCCUCUUGAAGCGAAUACUCCCGGGUUGCUCAGUUUAUGGGGGUUCUUCUUCUUGUCAUCUAUUUAUACUUACAUUUCAUAAGGAAUGGUUGAACGAUAAUUCCUUUUUUUUACUAUUUCCUUAUAUCUU